UGGGGAAUAUUGGACAAUGGGCGAAAGCCUGAUCCAGCCAUGCCGCGUGUGUGAAGAAGGUCUUCGGAUUGUAAAGCACUUUAAGUUGGGAGGAAGGGCAUUAACCUAAUACGUUAGUGUCUUGACGUUACCGACAGAAUAAGCACCGGCUAACUCUGUGCCAGCAGCCGCGGUAAUACGGAGGGUGCAAGCGUUAAUCGGAAUUACUGGGCGUAAAGCGUGCGCAGGCGGUUAUGUAAGACAGAUGUGAAAUCCCCGGGCUCAACCUGGGAACUGCAUUCAAAACUGACCGACUAGAGUAUGGUAGAGGGUGGUGGAAUUUCCUGUGUAGCGGUGAAAUGCGUAGAUAUAGGAAGGAACACCAGUGGCGAAGGCGACCACCUGGACUGAUACUGACACUGAGGUGCGAAAGCGUGGGGAGCAAACA
RNAcentral lists this ribosomal RNA (427 nucleotides) under uncultured bacterium. RNAcentral's name for it is "bacterial SSU rRNA". It matches the Rfam family "Bacterial small subunit ribosomal RNA", at positions 355 to 774 of the family's 1533-position model. The record is from RNAcentral.